RNAcentral lists this ribosomal RNA (758 nucleotides) under uncultured Prevotella sp. RNAcentral describes it as "bacterial SSU rRNA". It matches the Rfam family "Bacterial small subunit ribosomal RNA", at positions 28 to 776 of the family's 1533-position model. Lineage: Bacteria; Pseudomonadati; Bacteroidota; Bacteroidia; Bacteroidales; Prevotellaceae. The record is from RNAcentral.
GAUGAACGCUAGCUACAGGCUUAACACAUGCAAGUCGAGGGGCAGCAUGGAAGAAGCUUGCUUCUUCUGAUGGCGACCGGCGCACGGGUGCGUAACGCGUAUCAAACCUGCCUCAUACUCGGGGAUAGCCUUGCGAAAGUAAGAUUAAUACCCGAUGUUGUUAUGUUACCGCAUGGUGAUAUAACCAAAGAUUUAUCGGUAUGAGAUGGUGAUGCGUCCGAUUAGGCAGUAGGCGGGGUAACGGCCCACCUAGCCUUCGAUCGGUAGGGGUUCUGAGAGGAAGGUCCCCCACACUGGAACUGAGACACGGUCCAGACUCCUACGGGAGGCAGCAGUGAGGAAUAUUGGUCAAUGGACGAAAGUCUGAACCAGCCAAGUAGCGUGCAGGAUGACGGCCCUCUGGGUUGUAAACUGCUUUUAGUUGGGAAUAAAAAAGAGGACGUGUCCUCUAUUGUAUGUACCUUCAGAAAAAGGACCGGCUAAUUCCGUGCCAGCAGCCGCGGUAAUACGGAAGGUCCAGGCGUUAUCCGGAUUUAUUGGGUUUAAAGGGAGCGUAGGCGGAUUAUUAAGUCAGUGGUGAAAGACGGUGGCUCAACCAUCGUUAGCCAUUGAAACUGGUAGUCUUGAGUGCAGACAGGGAUGCUGGAACUCGUGGUGUAGCGGUGAAAUGCUUAGAUAUCACGAUGAACUCCGAUCGCGAAGGCAGGUGUCCGGGCUGCAACUGACGCUGAGGCUCGAAAGUGUGGGUAUCAAACAGG